AGUUUGAUCAUGGCUCAGAACGAACGCUGGCGGCAUGCCUAACACAUGCAAGUCGACGAAGCCUUCGGGCUUAGUGGCGCACGGGUGCGUAACACGUGGGAAUCUGCCCUUCGGUUCGGAAUAACAGUUAGAAAUGACUGCUAAUACCGGAUGAUGACGUAAGUCCAAAGAUUUAUCGCCGAAGGAUGAGCCCGCGUAGGAUUAGGUAGUUGGUAGGGUAAUGGCCUACCAAGCCGACGAUCCUUAGCUGGUCUGAGAGGAUGAUCAGCCACACUGGGACUGAGACACGGCCCAGACUCCUACGGGAGGCAGCAGUGGGGAAUAUUGGACAAUGGGCGAAAGCCUGAUCCAGCAAUGCCGCGUGAGUGAUGAAGGCCUUAGGGUUGUAAAGCUCUUUUACCAGGGAUGAUAAUGACAGUACCUGGAGAAUAAGCUCCGGCUAACUCCGUG
RNAcentral lists this ribosomal RNA (450 nucleotides) under uncultured bacterium. RNAcentral describes it as "bacterial SSU rRNA". It matches the Rfam family "Bacterial small subunit ribosomal RNA", at positions 10 to 507 of the family's 1533-position model. The record is from RNAcentral.